UGGCAGAAGCGGUGAGUCUUCUCCUGACCCCUUUCCCCUCCUCCUCAAUGGACCCCUUCCUUUUCCCCACCUCUUGUGUUUGUGUUAGGGGGUUACAGAGAGUUGUACCGCGAAACUGACUUCACAUCACUCUCCUUUCUAAUGGGAGUUAACAGGGUUCUUGAAGAGGAACAGCAAGCACUGUGUUAGGCUAAUGCCCUUGGGACCCAGGCAUCUUCCUGUCCUAAAACUUUGUAACGGGUUGGGAAAAUAAAAGUAGAAGACGUAAGAGGCACACAUUUCUGAGCCUCUUCCGGACAACUUAAGAUGACUGACAUCUGAUGCCUUCCUCUGCAUCGAUCUCCAAAGCAGAAGAAAUUUUCCCUGGUCUACAAGAACAUGAACACAAGUUUUGAGAGUGGGAGGAGAGCACCAAGGAGUGGGACUUGAAAAUUGCUACAAAUAUUAUAGAAAUUAAACUUAGUAUUUUCUUCUUAGUCUUUUGACCGUACCAGAAACUAAUACCACUAUAUGAUGUUCAGUUUCUACCUGCUAUUUCCUUUUCCUGGUCUUCUGUAUCAUCAGAAAGUGAAACGUUAAAGUAGUUAAGACAGAAAAACUGUAUUAAAGUUACCAUUUCUUAGACUGUUUUAAUAUCAUUCACAAAUCCUAUGGAGACUACAGGCAAAGUAAUUUCUGCAGACAUCAUUUCAAGAAAAGUUUAGUGGAGGGAUGGAGUUAUAGCUCAGUGGCAGAGCACUUGCCUAGCAUGUGUGAGGCACUGGGCUCCAUCCUUAGCACCAGAUAAAAAUGAACAAAUCAAAUAAAGGCAUUUUGUCCAUAUACAACUACAAAAAAUUAAUUUAGAAAAGUUGAGUGGAUCCCCAAAAUCAGGAAAAAAAAUCAAUGGAAUUACAAGGAUAAUUUCACAAAGGUAAAGUGACCUAAAGAGUCUGAGAUGUUGAAGUUUUCCAGUUGGACUAACUAUGCCGGCAGAAAUAAAGUUAACUGUUGAAUUCAAAUAUGAAGUUGUUCUACUAUUGAGUAUUAUUUUACUGUGGUGUUAAAACAACCCUCUUAAUAAUAGUAGUAAUUUACUAUAUAGAUAACAGAUAAAAAUAUAUUCAAAAUAUUUAUCUCACUGGUUUUGAUCAUUUUAGUAGAUUGGCUCUGUUUUUAAUAUUUUAAAUAUGAUUUCUAGAACCAUACUUAAUUCAAACUAAUAAAAUCACUUAACAUGCUUAUGAGAAAAUGGAGGACUUCAUCCCGGCAUAUAAUGUCUUUAAAAAAAUGUCAAAAUAAGGUGAAAUAUUGUCUCUUAUGAAAAGAGGAUAAUGUCAGAAAACUUAAAAUCUAAAACCUUCUGACCCCUUAACUCAGGACAUAGGCUUUUAUGUGAGUAUAUUCUACUCUUUGUAAGCAGACAUAUUGAUCUAGGACUCUGUGCACUUUUCCAUCUGAUUCCUCCAUUAUACAAGUUUAGUUAUGUGUUACCUUGAGGCUCAAUACUACAUUUAUUGAAAAUGCCAGAUUUUGAUUAGUCCACAAUUUGUCCAGGAAUCUUGCCACUUGUAAAAAUGUCAUACUUGGGCAGAAUACCCUCCAGAAAAACAUUUAUUUUUAGACUCUGGCUGAUCUUACUCAGUGUACUUUUGGGAAAAGCACUAUAUAGAUCAUUCAAUAUACUGAAGACUUCCCAGAUACUGCAUCUUUUCUCAUUUGAUAUGACUGGAAGAUGAUGCUUCCAUUUCUUCCAAGUAUCAAAGUAUUCAUAAUCAAACACUGUUUUGGUGCAUAGGUUCUAG
This 1784-nucleotide long non-coding RNA is filed under the name Marmota monax (woodchuck). Lineage: Eukaryota; Metazoa; Chordata; Mammalia; Rodentia; Sciuridae. The record is from RNAcentral.